This 468-nucleotide ribosomal RNA is filed under the name uncultured bacterium. Its description in RNAcentral is "partial 16S ribosomal RNA". It matches the Rfam family "Bacterial small subunit ribosomal RNA", at positions 28 to 507 of the family's 1533-position model. The record is from RNAcentral.
GACGAACGCUGGCGGCGUGCUUAACACAUGCAAGUCGAACGGAAAGGCCCUGCUUUUGUGGGGUGCUCGAGUGGCGAACGGGUGAGUAACACGUGAGUAACCUGCCCUUGACUUUGGGAUAACUUCAGGAAACUGGGGCUAAUACCGGAUAGGAGCUCCUGCUGCAUGGUGGGGGUUGGAAAGUUUCGGCGGUUGGGGAUGGACUCGCGGCUUAUCAGCUUGUUGGUGGGGUAGUGGCUUACCAAGGCUUUGACGGGUAGCCGGCCUGAGAGGGUGACCGGCCACAUUGGGACUGAGAUACGGCCCAGACUCCUACGGGAGGCAGCAGUGGGGAAUAUUGCAGAAUGGGCGGAAGCCUGAUGCAGAAACGCCGCGUGCGGGAUGACGGCCUUCGGGUGGUAAACCGCUUUCGCCUGUGACGAAGCGUGAGUGACGGUAAUGGGUAAAGAAGCACCGGCUAACUACGUG